CGCACCUCGGCGGCGGAAGCCCGUCACAGCCGCACGGCGGCGGCCGCCGGAGCCCCCCCCCACUCCCCACCCCGGUCCCCCGCGGACCCGGGGGAGGAGGAGCCUGCGGGCCCCGAUCGCUGCAUUUGCGUACUGAGGCGGGAGGGUCACGGUAAGUAUAGCACAGAAAAACAUUCUCCAUCUCUCAUCUGACAGCAGAGGAACAGACUCCAUUUACUCCGGCAUGGAUGAAGAGCUCGGCCCCUUCAAUUCCCUCUUUCCCCGAUACUGAGGGGAUCGAUGCCAGCCCCUGCACAGCACCAGCUCCGUCCAGUGGGUCUGCUCGAACCUGUCCUCCCUCCGGUAUUGCUCAGCCCGGGUGAAUAAUGGACCGUUAAUUGGGGACUCUGCAAAACUCAAGUGUAACAGGAGAGCGACUACAUCAAAGCAGUUCCUAAAAUAAUCCAUCAAUAAGCCAGAGAUCAAACCUGAGUGAAAAAGCUGAGACAGGCUACAUCUUAAAAAUGUAAGAGCAACAAUAAAAGAGACGUCUUAAACAAGAGGAAUGAAGUAUUUAUCAGCAUGGUUAGUUUAAAUCUUUAUGAUGGUUGCAGUAUUAUUCAUGCCAGAAAGCAGUAAAUGUGAAGCAUAAAAUAGAAUAAACUCAAAUGUCUGAUUCCAA
This is a long non-coding RNA of Chroicocephalus ridibundus (black-headed gull), 661 nucleotides long. RefSeq lists it as uncharacterized. Lineage: Eukaryota; Metazoa; Chordata; Aves; Charadriiformes; Laridae. The record is from RefSeq and is a predicted model, not a curated record. The transcript is spliced from 2 exons.